RNAcentral lists this ribosomal RNA (477 nucleotides) under uncultured bacterium. Its description in RNAcentral is "bacterial SSU rRNA". It matches the Rfam family "Bacterial small subunit ribosomal RNA", at positions 29 to 524 of the family's 1533-position model. The record is from RNAcentral.
AUUGAACGCUGGCGGCGUGCCUAACACAUGCAAGUCGAGCGGUAACAGGUGUAGCAAUACAUGCUGACGAGCGGCGGACGGGUGAGUAACGCUUGGGAAUCUGCCUAUUAGUGGGGGACAACCCGGGGAAACUCGGGCUAAUACCGCAUACGCUCUACGGAGGAAAGCCGGGGACCGCAAGGCCUGGCGCUAAUAGAUGAGCCCAAGUCGGAUUAGCUAGUUGGUAGGGAACGGCCUACCAAGGCUACGAUCCGUAACUGGUCUGAGAGGACGACCAGUCACACCGGAACUGAGACACGGUCCGGACUCCUACGGGAGGCAGCAGUGGGGAAUCUUGCACAAUGGGCGAAAGCCUGAUGCAGCAACGCCGCGUGCGGGAAGAAGGCCUUAGGGUUGUAAACCGCUUUCAGCAGGGAAGAAAAUGACGGUACCUGUAGAAGAAGGUGCGGCCAACUACGUGCCAGCCGCCGCGGUAAC